Long non-coding RNA from Tupaia belangeri chinensis (Chinese tree shrew), 724 nucleotides. RefSeq lists it as uncharacterized. Lineage: Eukaryota; Metazoa; Chordata; Mammalia; Scandentia; Tupaiidae. The transcript is spliced from 3 exons. The record is from RefSeq and is a predicted model, not a curated record.
GAGAACCAGAACAAGGGGAAAUUUGGCUACCAACAUGCCUGGGAGGCAGUCAUGGCCACUGAAGAGGAAAUUGAGAACCAAAGAGACUGCAUAAUUUCUAGCAAGUUGAAUCUCCUUGCACCAAAAACCUCUUUUCUUCCUUAGGAAAUUCCCAGAUGAUUAAGAUGAUCAGGGUACGCUUCUCUAGGACGUCACUUGAGAUGUGUAUAUGGAAUAAUCCUGUGGCACAGGAAUUGUUGGUCAUAUUUAACAUGGCAUGAACCUGAAGCCCAGAGAGCAUGGCUAUGUUCACAAAGUAAGUAUGCUGCAGUGCUGAGAUUCAGAACUCAGAAACAUGCGAUUCUUAUUCCCUUUUCUUCCCACCACACUUGAUUAUCUCCCCGAAGCUGGCACAGGUCUUCCCAUCAUUUUGCAUUUUAGCCCCAACAAGUAUAAGCCCGUGGCUGUAGGAUUAGUGGGUCAGAUACGAAGUGUGUUCGGUCUUCCCCUUAUGGUCUCUGACUCAAAUGUGGACAGGGUCACCUAUGGGUGAGUGUGGGUUGUUCUCAAGAACAGGGGAUAUCUUUCUUCAGCACAGCGGUCAUGGUAACCCCCGGUAGCAUAAGGUGUGCACAGGGCCAUGGGGACAAAUAUUGGAGUAGGGUUCUCCCCUUCGUAUUAAAGGCUUCUCUUCUUUCUUCUUCUCUUUCUCCUCCUCCUCCUUCUCCUUCUUCUCUUAACCAUA